RNAcentral lists this transfer RNA (74 nucleotides) under Candidatus Poribacteria bacterium. RNAcentral describes it as "tRNA-Arg". It matches the Rfam family "tRNA". Rfam says of the family: Transfer RNA (tRNA) molecules are approximately 80 nucleotides in length. Their secondary structure includes four short double-helical elements and three loops (D, anti-codon, and T loops). Further hydrogen bonds mediate the characteristic L-shaped molecular structure. tRNAs have two regions of fundamental functional importance: the anti-codon, which is responsible for specific mRNA codon recognition, and the 3' end, to which the tRNAs corresponding amino acid is attached (by aminoacyl-tRNA synthetases). tRNAs cope with the degeneracy of the genetic code in two manners: having more than one tRNA (with a specific anti-codon) for a particular amino acid; and 'wobble' base-pairing, i.e. permitting non-standard base-pairing at the 3rd anti-codon position. The record is from RNAcentral. Lineage: Bacteria; Candidatus Poribacteria.
GCGCCCAUAGCUCAGUUGGAUAGAGCGACGGACUUCGAAUCCGUAGGCCGAAGGUUCGAGACCUUCUGGGCGUA